UAAGGCUGGUUGGUAAUGUUGCAUAGAGACUCCAAGGGUAGAUAGAACUAGGAGAACAGGUAGGACCACUGUUGCAUCAAGCUAGAAGAAAAAUGGUGGAAGCUUGGACCAGGGUGAUAGGAGAAAUAGUGACACAUGGUUGGAUUAUGAUUAUAUUUUUAUAUUUUAAGGUUGAGGGAACUGAUUAUUGAUAGGCUAGAUAAAAUGUUUCUCUUCUUAAGGCUACCAUUAUAUAGUGGGGGAGGCAGAUGCAUAAUGGAGAUAUACAGAUAUUUUGUAAGGGUGGGAAAACAGGUGUCUGAGAAAUAUUCCUUGAAGAAGUGAAACCUAAUGUGGGAAUUUAAAAAGAUGAGAGCUUUAAAGAAUGUUUGGGAAUAAAAUGUUUCAGGAAGAAAUAACAGCGUUAACAAAAACUUGGGCAAGAAUAGUAUGACAGUUAGGGUUUAGUAGAGACAUGAAUGUGGGAUUGCUCAGGCAUGAGAGAUGUAGGCAAAUCAUGGAGGGUGUUUUUUGUCACAUUAAGGAGCUCAAAUGCUUAUCUAUGGGCAGUUGGAACCUGCUAAAGGGUUUUAAGCAGAAGAGUUUUGUGGUAAGAAUUUUUUUUAGGUAGAUCACUUAAAGGUUUAUGUGGGGAUUGCAUGUGAGAGGAUCAAGAAGCGAGGUGCCUGUUUAAUUUUAAAUUUUGUUAAUUAAUCUUAUACAUAACUUUUAGGUGUGAACAUUCUAAAAGGAAGCAUUAAACUAAGUCUGCUUUCUUUAACAAAAAUGAAUCAGAGCAGGUUCACAGUAGCAGUGUUAUGCCUUUGUGUAUGUGUUUCCACACAUAUAAAUCUAAACCCUACACACCUAAAAAACAAGUUCUAUGGUUUUUAUUCCUAGUUAUUAGUUAUAAGAAUUAAGGAUUUAAUUGCUGUUUAUCUUUGCUAUGUAAUGAAUGCUUAUGUGAAUUUUUUGUUAUAUUUCACUGAAGAGAGUGUCAAUUGAUAAAGAAAUUUACAAAUCAGUUUUUUUUCAAUUUAUGCCUUUUACCAACACAAGUAGUUUCUUUCUCAGUAUGGUGAUUUAAAGAGUAUUAUCAUUGGGAAAAAUCAGAUGACCUACCUGUUAACUAAAAACAACAAUAAAAAAGCUCCAAGAUAUAUUGUAUCAGCCAGUUCUAGGAUACAAAAGCUGUGUAGUACUUUGUGCUUUGUGCAAAAAGGGUAGCUGCUAUUUAACCUGUCCCGAAGGCAUGUGUGGCUGGACCAUCAACCAAGCAUGGCACCUGCUUUUCUGACCUUAGAAAUGAAAGUUUAGAAGAGUUAGUAUGUUAUGUAUUACAUUUUGCAUAUAUUCAUUGACUUUCUAAACUGAAGAAAAGAAUCCGUUAAUGACUACUUGAAGUAUUCUAACAAAAUAGGUAUGGUAAAAAUUGAGCCCCUGUAAUGAAUGAGUCACAGAGCAGGUACUAUAUAUUACUUUACUUAGUCCUGAAGUCCCUUGGGAAACUGAGGCUAAAGCAAAUUCAUCCUAAGAAGUAAGUGGUAGAGCAGGGUGUUUGUCAGCUAGCUUUAUGGAUAACUUGAAUGGAGAAAGAGUGCAGCAGUGGUGUAGAGUGGCAAGGAAGCCCUAAGGGCUGCCCUCUUGGCUUCAGGUGCUAGACAUACAGACCCAAAUCUUGAGAGGAUUUAUCAUAUUUUGAAGUGAGGGUAGGGCUGAAAUAAUUCUUUUAAGACUGAUUAAUUUUUUAAAUAGGUAAUAUAGGUACAUGCCAUGAAAUUUUAAAAGUUUAAAUAUGAAAAGCAUCCAUCCUGUACUAUUCCCCAGCCACUCAUUUCCCCUUCCCAGAGGCAACUGCUCUUACCAGUUUCUCUCGGUUCUUUUUAGAGAUAAUCUUCAUGUAU
Long non-coding RNA from Manis pentadactyla (Chinese pangolin), 1883 nucleotides. RefSeq lists it as uncharacterized. NCBI's taxonomy places the organism in Eukaryota, Metazoa, Chordata, Mammalia, Pholidota, Manidae. The transcript is spliced from 3 exons. The record is from RefSeq and is a predicted model, not a curated record.